GACGAACGCUGGCGGCGUGCUUAACACAUGCAAGUCGAACGGAAAGGCCCUGCUUUUGUGGGGUGCUCGAGUGGCGAACGGGUGAGUAACACGUGAGUAACCUGCCCUUGACUUUGGGAUAACUUCAGGAAACUGGGGCUAAUCCCGGAUAGGAGCUCCUGCUGCAUGGUGGGGGUUGGAAAGUUUCGGCGGUUGGGGAUGGACUCGCGGCUUAUCAGCUUGUUGGUGGGGUAGUGGCUUACCAAGGCUUUGACGGGUAGCCGGCCUGAGAGGGUGACCGGCCACAUUGGGACUGAGAUACGGCCCAGACUCCUACGGGAGGCAGCAGUGGGGAAUAUUGCACAAUGGGCGGAAGCCGGAUGCAGCAACGCCGCGUGCGGGAUGACGGCCUUCGGGUUGUAAGCCGCUUUCGCCUGUGACGAAGCGUGAGUGACGGUAAUGGGUAAAGAAGCACCGGCUAACUACGUG
RNAcentral lists this ribosomal RNA (468 nucleotides) under uncultured bacterium. RNAcentral describes it as "partial 16S ribosomal RNA". It matches the Rfam family "Bacterial small subunit ribosomal RNA", at positions 28 to 507 of the family's 1533-position model. The record is from RNAcentral.